RNAcentral lists this ribosomal RNA (253 nucleotides) under uncultured bacterium. Its description in RNAcentral is "partial 16S ribosomal RNA". It matches the Rfam family "Bacterial small subunit ribosomal RNA", at positions 524 to 776 of the family's 1533-position model. The record is from RNAcentral.
UACGGAGGGUGCAAGCGUUAUCCGGAUUCACUGGGCUUAAAGGGAGCGUAGGUGGCUUUGUAAGUCAGUGGUGAAAUAUUGCGGCUCAACCGCAAAACUGCCAUUGAUACUGCUUAGCUUGAAUCACGUCGAGGUGGAUGGAAUAAUACAUGUAGCGGUGAAAUGCUUAGAUAUGUAUUAGAACACCGAUUGCGAAGGCAGUUCACUAGGCGUGUAUUGACACUGAGGCUCGAAAGCGUGGGGAUCAAACAGG